Molecule: ribosomal RNA, 411 nt
Filed under: uncultured bacterium
Lineage: Bacteria
Description: bacterial SSU rRNA
Rfam family: Bacterial small subunit ribosomal RNA
Source: RNAcentral
UGGGGAAUAUUGGACAAUGGGCGAAAGCCUGAUCCAGCCAUGCCGCGUGAGUGACGAAGGCCUUAGGGUUGUAAAGCUCUUUUGGCGGGGAAGAUAAUGACGGUACCCGCAGAAUAAGCUCCGGCUAACUUCGUGCCAGCAGCCGCGGUAAUACGAAGGGAGCUAGCGUUGUUCGGAAUCACUGGGCGUAAAGCGCACGUAGGCGGAUUUGUCAGUCAGGGGUGAAAUCCCGGGGCUCAACCUCGGAACUGCCCUUGAUACAGCAAGUCUUGAGUUCGAGAGAGGUGGGUGGAAUUCCUAGUGUAGAGGUGAAAUUCGUAGAUAUUAGGAAGAACACCGGUGGCGAAGGCGGCCCACUGGCUCGAUACUGACGCUGAGGUGCGAAAGCGUGGGGAGCAAACAGGAUUAGAU